AAAUCCUUCUGUCUCUUAGAAAUUCAGCCACCUCCUCUCUCGGAUCUCUGCCCUCGCAGCCCUUUCAUGUCUCAAAUCUUCUCUGCCUGCAACUGAACAACGUACCUCCCCCUUUGUUGACUAGCCCAUCCGUGGUAGAAAAUCGGAAAAACUGACAGCCAAAGUUGUUUGAGGACCCCCAAUAAUUUCAAAUCCGAGAGAACAACACAAGAACAACACCCUGAAUCUCCAUCUCAUCUCAACAAAAUCAUGUCUCCCAAGCCUCAAGCCAUCACAGAUUCGAUUGACAGUCUUGUAGAUCGAGACCACUGCACACAUGCAACGUAGGUGUCCGAGAUGCACCAAGAGACUGAAGAGACAACCUCGAAGAGCUCCCAAACUCACGGAUCUGCAAAUUGUUAGCGUACAACCGAGAGACAACAACCUGGAGCUUCCGGUCUAG
RNAcentral lists this small RNA (442 nucleotides) under Malus domestica (apple). RNAcentral describes it as "sRNA MD04G0195800". The record is from RNAcentral. Lineage: Eukaryota; Viridiplantae; Streptophyta; Magnoliopsida; Rosales; Rosaceae.